UACGUAGGGUGCAAGCGUUGUCCGGAAUUAUUGGGCGUAAAGAGCUCGUAGGCGGUUUGUCGCGUCGGCCGUGAAAUCUCCACGCUUAACGUGGAGCGUGCGGUCGAUACGGGCAGACUUGAGUUCGGUAGGGGAGACUGGAAUUCCUGGUGUAGCGGUGAAAUGCGUAGAUAUCGGAAGGAACAUCAGUGGCGAAAGCGGCAUCCUGGACCGGCAUUGACGCUGAGGCGCGAAAGCCAGGGGAGCCAAAGCGGG
This 255-nucleotide ribosomal RNA is filed under the name uncultured bacterium. RNAcentral describes it as "partial 16S ribosomal RNA". It matches the Rfam family "Bacterial small subunit ribosomal RNA", at positions 524 to 778 of the family's 1533-position model. The record is from RNAcentral.